CUGAUUCACCCGCGGCGAUGGGGAAGCGCCGGUGUCAUGCUGCGAAGCACAGACGCUGCUUCUUUUCAGCCCCCCCCCCCGCCAUUUAAAAGCUAACCUGUUCCCGGAUUUGUCUGGGGAAAAUCCCACCUUUUCUCUCAUUGCAUGAUCCUGCUCUCUCUUUGCUUAACUGUAGUCAACUUUUCUGGCUUCCCGGACGCCAGUAUUCAACAGCAAAAAUAAUCACCUGCCUCUUUUUACGCUCUGUAGCUUGCCUGUCCUGUGAAAUAAGUUGCGAAAAUCAAAAUUAACAGGACUCCCUAUGUCUGCAACCAUAUCUUCUCCUUAACUCUCUGUGCCCUCGCACACUGUCCUCACUUUUGUUGACUUCCACUUCUGGGCUGACUCCAAAUCCCUGUCUUCUACUCUAUCUAAAAAAUUAUUUGCAUAUAUCAAUAUUACCUUGGUUUAAAUCCUGUCCUGUUUUUUCUUUCUCAAGUCAGUUACUCCUGCUUUCUAGUGUUAUCUCUGAUUUCUCCAGAAGUGGAAUUUAUCCUGCUACUUACAGAUGAAUAGCAGUGCUUCCAUUAAGCUGAUGCAGUCUGGCGCAAGAUCUGCAGAAGUGAGUCCUCUCUGGAGACUGCAGUGCUACUCAUCACUUGCUGGAAGGUGUUUCUGCACCACAUUCAUCCCUAAAGGACUGGAGCUCGGACUUGACACUGAAACUUGUUCCAUUUUUUUUUUUUUUUGGUGUCUUAUUUCGAUAAAGGUUGACCACUGAGAUAGUCCAGGUUUCUAUCUGAAGCAACAAAAGGGCAGCCAUACCGCUCUGUGAGCAGGCUCUCUGAUGUUGUCAGGGGCUUUAUCUGUAAUGCAGGGUAUGUAGAUGCAUCUGGGCUAGGUCUAAAUGGGUUCAGCUGCCUGUGCAACCACAGAGCCCAGUGAAGAACAGGAGCUCACCAGCCUCCCCAGCUGAAAAUGCUCUAUGCUGCUGCAGUUUCGGUGCUAACAGUAAGCAAGUCCAUUGUGAUCUUAAGUUCCUAGUCUUGCUAUUGCUGCUUAAUUGUUCUGUCCUUCACUUCAGCUGGGAAUGCUGACUGAGUUAAAACAAUGCCAGGAUGAUGGGUUUCGAUACAAAAUUAUUCCUCGUAACAGGAACUAGCAACACGGGUCUCCAUGCAAGGAUUUUUCUGCAGUGCCAUGAGUGAGUGUCUUAAGCUUCAGAUCACCCCGGCUCACCACUUCUGGAGCUGUCAGAUCUGGGCCCCGCAGUGUAGGAUCUGGCGUGAUCAGUGGCUAGAAUUCACACCCAGAUGCUUAGCUGACGUUUACCAAAGACUGGAGCAGUUUAUAAUUGAUAAGAAAUUCACAUAACUACAGGUGUGAAGAAAAGAAUGAGCAAAUGAUACAAUUCACGCUUCCACGUGUGCAUGCAGUCUUCAUGGCAGAACAAUUCCUCUGAAGCGUCUCAGAUUGCCCAUUGCUAGAGACAGGCCUCACUGGAGCAAUUAUGUUAGUCAUAAUGACAGAUACUCCAAUGCCCUCAAUUUAAAUCCUUUUCAUAGUGCUGAAUUACAGCUUGACAGCAGAGAUCUCAUGACACACUCCUGUUUCUGAUUCUCCACCUGCCUCGUGACAACUGUAUUGCUUGGUUACAUGAAAAAAACAACAUCAUUGCCUAACAGGAAGACAAAAUGACAGUAAACUUACUUUUAUGCAUUCUUUGGAUUCUUUGCCAACUCCCAUUUGUUUUCUGUAUUUUUUAUUUCUUCUUCUUACAGGAUUUUACAUUUUUUGGGACUGCAUCUUCUCAUUGCUUGCAAUUCCCCACUGCUCUGAUGUGAUCACUUUCUGGUUUGAAAUUUAUAUCUGUUUGCUGCUAGAUGUUAAAAUCCAAUGACAUCCUUAGCAUUUUAUGAGAAUACAAUCUGCACCAGUGAAACACCUCCCUAACACCCAAAGUAAGUUUAAGGUAGUUGUCUAAGGUAUGGCAGGAUGCUUGCUUAUUUUAGUUUUGUUGACAAAAAAAGAAAAAAUCUAGGAAGUUUCCACCUUGGGAAUUGAGUUCUUAUUAUCUGGUAACAGGAAUGCAUGGAGACUCUCUUUUUUACCACAGUGAGACAAAAUACCUGGAGCCUGAGCACCUAGAACUAGGAUAGGAAGGAUGUACCACACUGUUCUGAAGACUGGAGAUACUGAACAUAGUUUAUAUUUUGACAAUGAAAUCACAGGUUAACAUAAGUACUUUAUCAUAUACCCAAGGUGUGCCAUUUUCCCAUGGCAUAUUGUAGCUUCGUGUCAACUGGUUGUCUAUGAAGAAGUUGUAUGAAUCACCUUCUGGCUGUGUCUGUCUUUGUUCUUUCAGUACAGAGAAAGCACAGGUUAUGAGCUUAUACCAUCUAUAGACUAUAUCUAAGGUUAGGUAAAAUGCAUUCUGCCCUCAGAAUAGUCAAAUAUCAGAAAAGAUUUCAAAUGUUCCCUUCUUUCUUCCUCCAAAGCAUUACUAAAAAUCUAGGUAGUAAUUCUUGUGGAAUUAUUUGGUAUAAUAAACAUUCAUACUUGAAAGCA
RNAcentral lists this long non-coding RNA (2547 nucleotides) under Apteryx rowi (Okarito brown kiwi). Its description in RNAcentral is "lncRNA (ENSARWG00000018169.1)". Lineage: Eukaryota; Metazoa; Chordata; Aves; Apterygiformes; Apterygidae. The record is from RNAcentral.